Non-coding RNA from Podarcis lilfordi (Lilford's wall lizard), 69 nucleotides. The record is from the annotation of a GenBank genome assembly. NCBI's taxonomy places the organism in Eukaryota, Metazoa, Chordata, Lepidosauria, Squamata, Lacertidae.
GGAUAGCUCAGUUGGUAGAGUAUAAAACUCUUAAUUUCAGGGUCGUGGGUUUGAGCCCCACAUUGGACA